UCCCUGGCGUGCUCUGCAUGGCAGAACUCCUGCGCAUCGGCGCGGCAGACUGUCAUGGGGUCGCUUUUUCAUUCUCCCUCUCGCCUGGCGAGAAAUUUCGUUUGGGAGGGAAGUGUAUAGUCGGCUUUGUCUGUGUAGUUCUAUCYAAGCGUGGAAACAACAUUGGUCCCAUGAUGGGUGUUUUUUGCUUUGCCUUGUUGAUAAUUUUAUUGUCUCUAGGGCAACCGAAUUGUUGGGRAAACUCUUGUGCUUGCCACGAUGUUUUUGUCGUGGCACCGUACAUGGGUCUUGUCGGCUCUCGCGGAUGCUGUGCUCACGAUAAGUUCUGUAGGCCAUUGGUCCACAAGCUUCAAAAGGUCCCUCGUACGGAUCAUCGGUCCGUCAUUCGCUCGUCAUGUUGGUAAUGCCUUCAUGUCGGAGCGGUGUGUGGGGGGCCUUUCUGACCGAUUGAGCAACGAUUGUCGGCUAGUGUAAGACGGGCCACCCUGCUGGGGUGGUUUCUGAAACAACAAGCCGGCUCUCGUUUAAGACGUGC
This 535-nucleotide unclassified non-coding RNA is filed under the name Rhynchospora velutina. RNAcentral's name for it is "partial external transcribed spacer 1F". Lineage: Eukaryota; Viridiplantae; Streptophyta; Magnoliopsida; Poales; Cyperaceae. The record is from RNAcentral.